This 301-nucleotide ribosomal RNA is filed under the name uncultured bacterium. Its description in RNAcentral is "partial 16S ribosomal RNA". It matches the Rfam family "Bacterial small subunit ribosomal RNA", at positions 509 to 809 of the family's 1533-position model. The record is from RNAcentral.
CAGUAGCCGCGGGAAUACAGAGGGUGCGAGCGUUAAUCGGAUUUACUGGGCGUAAAGCGUGCGUAGGCGGCUUUUUAAGUCGGAUGUGAAAUCCCUGAGCUUAACUUAGGAAUUGCAUUCGAUACUGGGAAGCUAGAGUAUGGGAGAGGAUGGUAGAAUUCCAGGUGUAGCGGUGAAAUGCGUAGAGAUCUGGAGGAAUACCGAUGGCGAAGGCAGCCAUCUGGCAUAAUACUGACGCUGAGGUACGAAAGCAUGGGGAGCAAACAGGAUUAGAUACCCCCGUAGUCCCUGUCUCUUAUAU